AUACGGAGGGUGCAAGCGUUACUCGGAAUCACUGGGCGUAAAGCGCGCGCAGGCGGUCUUUUAAGUUGGAUGUGAAAGCCUACGGCUCAACCGUAGAACUGCAUCCAAAACUAUUAGACUAGAGUGUGGGAGAGGAAGAUGGAAUUAGUUGUGUAGGGGUAAAAUCCGUAGAGAUAACUAGGAAUACCAAAAGCGAAGGCAUUCUUCUGGAACACUACUGACGCUGAGGCGCGAAAGCGUGGGGAGCAAACAGGAUUAGAAACCCUAGUAGUCC
Molecule: ribosomal RNA, 274 nt
Filed under: uncultured bacterium
Lineage: Bacteria
Description: partial 16S ribosomal RNA
Rfam family: Bacterial small subunit ribosomal RNA
Source: RNAcentral